AUGCUUACCUGGCAAGGGACACAGCAUGAUCAUGAAGGUGGUUCUCCCAGAGCGAGACUUACCCAUUGCACUCCGGAUGUGCUGACCCCUGCGACUUCCCCAAAUGUGGGAAACGCGACUGCAUCAUUUGUGGUAGUGGCAGACUGCGUUUGCGCUUUCCCCUG
This is a small nuclear RNA of Tupaia belangeri (northern tree shrew), 164 nucleotides long. Its record names the gene U1. It matches the Rfam family "U1 spliceosomal RNA". From Rfam's summary of the family: U1 is a small nuclear RNA (snRNA) component of the spliceosome (involved in pre-mRNA splicing). Its 5' end forms complementary base pairs with the 5' splice junction, thus defining the 5' donor site of an intron. The record is from Ensembl. Lineage: Eukaryota; Metazoa; Chordata; Mammalia; Scandentia; Tupaiidae.